AUUGAACGCUGGCGGCAGGCUUAACACAUGCACGUCGAGCGGGGUGAUGGUGCUUGCACUAUCACUUAGCGGCGGACGGGUGAGUAAUGCUUAGGAAUCUGCCUAUUAGUGGGGGACAACAUCUCGAAAGGGAUGCUAAUACCGCAUACGUCCUACGGGAGAAAGCAGGGGAUCACUUGUGACCUUGCGCUAAUAGAUGAGCCUAAGUCGGAUUGGCUAGUUGGUGGGGUAAAGGCCUACCAAGGCGACGAUCUGUAGCGGGUCUGAGAGUAGGAUCCGCCACACUGGGACUGAGACACGGCCCAGUCUCCUACGGGAGGCAGCAGUGGGGAAUAUUUGACAAUGGGGGGAACCCUGAUCCAGCCAUGCCGCGUGCGUGAAGAAGGCCUUAUGGUUGUAAAGCACUUUAAGCGAGGAGGAGGCUCUUUUGGUUAAUACCCAAGAUGAGUGGACGUUACUCGCAGAAUAAGCACCGGCUAACUCUGUGCCAGCCGCCGCCGUAA
This 503-nucleotide ribosomal RNA is filed under the name uncultured bacterium. RNAcentral describes it as "partial 16S ribosomal RNA". It matches the Rfam family "Bacterial small subunit ribosomal RNA", at positions 30 to 523 of the family's 1533-position model. The record is from RNAcentral.